RNAcentral lists this long non-coding RNA (1094 nucleotides) under Heterocephalus glaber (naked mole-rat). Its description in RNAcentral is "lncRNA (ENSHGLG00100033642.1)". The record is from RNAcentral. Lineage: Eukaryota; Metazoa; Chordata; Mammalia; Rodentia; Bathyergidae.
GAGCAAUCGAGCCGGGCCAGGAGGCAGGGCCGCCCUUCCCUUCCGGCCCGCGGCUUGGGGAUCGGGCCUGGAGGCCUCGGGGUCCCACUCUGGAAGGGGGCCCGCGCCGGUCCCUACGCAUCGCAAUCCCGCCCGCCCGCCACGCUGGCCAGGGCGCAGGUGCUGGCCCGCAGCCCCGCCCCACUAAGGCUGGAGUCCGCUCGAGCCCUGCCUCUCCAGGGGCGGGGCCGCCUGUCCCGCCCAUAAAUGGGCGGAGCCGACAAAUCCACGCCCCUCCAAGGGUGGCAUACAUCGUUACUCCGCCCCACCCGGAGGCGGAGUCAGUCUUGCCCGGCGCCAGGCCACGCUCCGCCCGCCGCCCUCAGAUCGCGCCACGAUCCAGGGUCCCGGCCUCCCGCAGGGCAAAGGCAGCUGGCGGUGUAGACGCGGGUAGCCUCGCCAUGAAGUCCCGCAGGGAUAAGCUACACAUCCCGGCCCUGACCCUCGAGUGAGUGCCGCGAGGCGUGGGGACCCGGGAGGACCCGGACACCGCCCUGCCCGCGUCCCAGCGCCGCCUCCCGGGAGCCCUCCCAGUGCCCUGGCGGUCGAUCCGGAUCGGGCCGCACGCGGGGCGCCGCCAGGUCAUGGCCGCCUCUCUCUUCGCAGUCUGUCCCCGAGCAGCCAGAGCCCAGCGCUGCUCAGCCCCAGCAGCCCCUGCAGCCCCUGCAGCCCUUCGCUGGGCCUGCACCUUUGGAGGCGCCUUGUGAGGCCCUGACCCUGCCGGUUCUCUGCCGAAACAGCCGAGGAGACUGAGGCUGGAGAGGGCCACGGUUCUCUGUCAUCACACGCAGGUGGGACCUCAGGGCCCUGUAUCAGGGGGCACCGCCCUCUGUGACGGCCGGGUGCUGGCAGUGCUGGGAGCCCCAAGAGUCCCCAGCCUGGAGAAGCUAAGCCAGCCAAACCCAAGCCAGGGCUGCGCGGCCCGCUGGCUCGGGAACUGGAUGUGGCCACGCCGGAUUCGGAGCGCAGGAACCAGGGUGGGCGUGGUAGCAGGAACUGGACCAGGGCGCUGGGUGGGCCUUGAAUGCCGCGCUCAGCAGGGGUCUGGAGGUGGG